AUGAGUCUUUUUGCCUGGAACUGUCGAGGACUGGGGUUGGACUCGACAGUGGGCAAGCUUCGAGACCUGAUACGGUCAUACAACCCAGCGGUGGUGUUCUUAUCAGAGACAAAAAAAUCGGCAAAAGCUAUGGAGAGGUUAAAGUGGAGUUUGGGUUUCAGCCAUGGAGUGGCAGUGAGUUGUAUGGGCAAAAGUGGAGGGCUAGCGUUGUGG
This 213-nucleotide ribosomal RNA is filed under the name Triticum aestivum (bread wheat). RNAcentral describes it as "partial small subunit ribosomal RNA". Lineage: Eukaryota; Viridiplantae; Streptophyta; Magnoliopsida; Poales; Poaceae. The record is from RNAcentral.